AGAGAGAGAGACAGCGUACUGAUCGUUUAUAUACAUAUUGGAAUCCUUUCCCAGUGUUUCUUGCCCAUGCUCUGUGUGCAAAUUGUCAACCAAACAAUAAAGAGUCUUCCUGAUCCUUUUCAUAUGGGGUGGCUUCAAUCCAUGCUCUCGCCACUGAAGAAGAUUUUGCCUCGCAUGCAUUCAGACCAGAAAAAGGGUAUGUCCCAAAAGAGUAUGUCCCUGAACUCUUCUCCUAGAUUUCUAAUGCAUUACUUGGAAAUGUUGCCAACAUAACUAUUUCUAAAUAAGUUCCUUAUCUAUUAAUUCCUGUCCCUUUUUGAAAAGUUAUUUGGCACGCAUAUACUUCAUUUCUAAACCUAAAAAUCUGUUUCAUUUCUAAACCUAAAAAUCUGUUCUUUUUCCUUUUUUUUCCUUAAUGCUGCUUCCCCUCCUUUAAGAUAUGUUUGCUU
RNAcentral lists this long non-coding RNA (449 nucleotides) under Elaeis guineensis (African oil palm). RNAcentral's name for it is "long non-coding RNA (EGUI_LNC037300)". The record is from RNAcentral. Lineage: Eukaryota; Viridiplantae; Streptophyta; Magnoliopsida; Arecales; Arecaceae.